RNAcentral lists this ribosomal RNA (253 nucleotides) under uncultured bacterium. RNAcentral describes it as "partial 16S ribosomal RNA". It matches the Rfam family "Bacterial small subunit ribosomal RNA", at positions 524 to 776 of the family's 1533-position model. The record is from RNAcentral.
UACGAAGGGGGCUAGCGUUGUUCGGAAUCACUGGGCGUAAAGGGCGCGUAGGCGGCCUUAUAAGUCGGGGGUGAAAGCCUGUGGCUCAACCACAGAAUUGCCUUCGAUACUGUAGAGCUUGAGUCCGGAAGAGGUAAGUGGAACUGCGAGUGUAGAGGUGAAAUUCGUAGAUAUUCGCAAGAACACCAGUGGCGAAGGCGGCUUACUGGUCCGGUUCUGACGCUGAGGCGCGAAAGCGUGGGGAGCAAACAGG